AUGGAGUCUCCGAGCAAGAGCACCGGUGAUCAUAUUCAUCGCCCGUCAUCUCUGACUCUGAUUCAAAAGGAAGCAGCAGCCGUACGCACCGAUCAAUCCAUGGCCCUGCCUCUGCCCCUGCCCGACGACAUCCUCGCUUGCGUCCUCGGCCGUCUCGCGCCACCCAGCCUCGCCGCGUCCCGCUGCAUCUGCAAAGGCUGGUGCGAGCCGACGGCCGCCGUCGGUUGCGGACGGACCUCCUCUCGCUCUAGCUCUACGGGAUCUUCUUCAUGGAGAUGGACGUCCUCUGCGGGGACCCCCAAAGCUCUUCGCAAACCCGCUGACGAGCCGCAGGAUCGACGCAAACCUUGA
This 351-nucleotide ribosomal RNA is filed under the name Triticum aestivum (bread wheat). Its description in RNAcentral is "partial small subunit ribosomal RNA". Lineage: Eukaryota; Viridiplantae; Streptophyta; Magnoliopsida; Poales; Poaceae. The record is from RNAcentral.